UCUAUGGUGGCUGCAGUGGGGAAUAUUGGACAAUGGGCGAAAGCCUGAUCCAGCCAUGCCGCGUGUGUGAAGAAGGCCUUCGGGUUGUAAAGCACUUUCAGUGGGGAAGAAAGCCUUGGGGCUAAUACCCUCGAGGAAGGACAUCACCCACAGAAGAAGCACCGGCUAACUCCGUGCCAGCAGCCGCGGUAAUACGGAGGGUGCGAGCGUUAAUCGGAAUUACUGGGCGUAAAGCGCGCGUAGGCGGUCUGAUAAGCCGGUUGUGAAAGCCCCGGGCUCAACCUGGGAACGGCAUCCGGAACUGUCAGGCUAGAGUGCAGGAGAGGAAGGUAGAAUUCCCGGUGUAGCGGUGAAAUGCGUAGAGAUCGGGAGGAAUACCAGUGGCGAAGGCGGCCUUCUGGACUGACACUGACGCUGAGGUGCGAAAGCGUGGGUAGCAAACAGGAUUAGAUACCCUAGUAGUC
RNAcentral lists this ribosomal RNA (464 nucleotides) under Vreelandella stevensii. RNAcentral describes it as "partial 16S ribosomal RNA". It matches the Rfam family "Bacterial small subunit ribosomal RNA", at positions 338 to 795 of the family's 1533-position model. The record is from RNAcentral. Lineage: Bacteria; Pseudomonadati; Pseudomonadota; Gammaproteobacteria; Oceanospirillales; Halomonadaceae.